UAUAGGAGAAAAAAAUGAACGAAGUUCAUUUUUUCCUAUAAAUGUUUCCGACGAAUAGCCACUGACCGAAGGGAGGGGGCAAUACAUAUU
Small RNA from Eubacterium sp. CAG:156, 90 nucleotides. It matches the Rfam family "GA-cis RNA". Lineage: Bacteria; Bacillati; Bacillota; Clostridia; Eubacteriales; Eubacteriaceae. The record is from Rfam.